GUGUUCAUAGAAGGGAGAUAUGGUUGGCAUCUUCCUUGACAAGGACAGGAACAAUGUUUAGACUUUCUUAUCACAUGUGGUUAAGGCUCUCCACCCCUUCCAGGGUGGAUCUUACCUCAAGUUCUU
Molecule: non-coding RNA, 126 nt
Organism: Picea glauca (white spruce)
Lineage: Eukaryota; Viridiplantae; Streptophyta; Pinopsida; Pinales; Pinaceae
Source: Rfam